RNAcentral lists this long non-coding RNA (423 nucleotides) under Parus major (Great Tit). Its description in RNAcentral is "lncRNA (ENSPMJG00000017907.1)". The record is from RNAcentral. Lineage: Eukaryota; Metazoa; Chordata; Aves; Passeriformes; Paridae.
GUCUCUAGGUAACAAUAAACACCCGGGCAGGAGCAGCUGGUGCCCCGACCGCCUCUGCAUCACAAUGCCGGAAUCACGCUAAUCAACCGCCCGCACCGCGCCCGCACCGCCCGGGCACCGCCGGGCUCCGGCCGUGGGCAGGGGAUGGCCGUGGGAAAGGUGUGAACGGAUUUUUGGAAGGAAACGUCUAAAUUGGAUGAAAAACCUUUAAUGCCGACAGCCGGAGCAGCUGGAAGGACAAAUAUAGCCGGAGAGGAGGAGGAGGAGGAGGACGGGGACGCGGUGGGAGGUGGUGGCCGUGCCGAGAGCGACACCUGGUGACAGUCACCCCCCCCCGGACACGUGUGAACACGCGUGUGGCACCCAGCAUCCCAUCUCCAUCCCCAUUCCCGGAGCAGGCCGUGCCCGGAGCACCGGGAUGUU